Molecule: transfer RNA, 72 nt
Filed under: Weissella soli
Lineage: Bacteria; Bacillati; Bacillota; Bacilli; Lactobacillales; Lactobacillaceae
Rfam family: tRNA
About the family: Transfer RNA (tRNA) molecules are approximately 80 nucleotides in length. Their secondary structure includes four short double-helical elements and three loops (D, anti-codon, and T loops).
Source: Rfam by way of RNAcentral
GCGGCUAUAGUGUAAUGGAUAUCACGUAAGAUUCCGGUUCUUGAGAUGAGGGUUCGAUUCCCCCUAGCCGCA